UGCGGGAUCCAGUGCUGGGGGU
Molecule: unclassified non-coding RNA, 22 nt
Filed under: Chlamydomonas reinhardtii
Lineage: Eukaryota; Viridiplantae; Chlorophyta; Chlorophyceae; Chlamydomonadales; Chlamydomonadaceae
Description: small RNA Cre_3126
Source: RNAcentral